AGUGAACGCUGGCGGUAGGCCUAACACAUGCAAGUCGAACGGCAGCACAGUAAGAUCUUGCUCUUACGGGUGGCGGGUGGCGGGCGGGUGAGGAAUACAUCGGAAUCUACUUUUUCGUGGGGGAUAACGUAGGGAAACUUACGCUAAUACCGCAUAUGACCUACGGGUGAAAGCAGGGGAUCUUCGCACCUUGCGCGAUUGAAUUAGCCGAUGUCGGAUUAGCUAGUUGGGUGGGUAAAGGCCCACCAAGGCGACGAUCCGUAGCUGGUCUGAGAGGAUGAUCGGCCACACUGGAACUGAGACACGGUCCAGACCCCUACGGGAGGCAGCAGUGGGGAAUAUUGGGCAAUGGGCGCAAGCCUGAUCCAGCCAUACCGCGUGGGUGAAGAAGGCCUUCGGGUUGUAAAGCCCUUUUGUUGGGAAAGAAAAGCAGCAGGUUAAUACGCCGCUGUUCUGACGGUACCCAAAGAAUAAGCACCGGCUAACUACGUG
Molecule: ribosomal RNA, 492 nt
Filed under: uncultured bacterium
Lineage: Bacteria
Description: partial 16S ribosomal RNA
Rfam family: Bacterial small subunit ribosomal RNA
Source: RNAcentral